Molecule: ribosomal RNA, 504 nt
Filed under: uncultured bacterium
Lineage: Bacteria
Description: partial 16S ribosomal RNA
Rfam family: Bacterial small subunit ribosomal RNA
Source: RNAcentral
AUUGAACGCUGGCGGCAGGCCUAACACAUGCAAGUCGAACGGUAGCACAGAGAGCUUGCUCUCGGGUGACGAGUGGCGGACGGGUGAGUAAUGUCUGGGAAACUGCCUGAUGGAGGGGGAUAACUACUGGAAACGGUAGCUAAUACCGCAUAACGUCGCAAGACCAAAGAGGGGGACCUUCGGGCCUCUUGCCAUCAGAUGUGCCCAGAUGGGAUUAGCUAGUAGGUGGGGUAACGGCUCACCUAGGCGACGAUCCCUAGCUGGGCUGAGAGGAUGAGCAGCCACACUGGAACUGAGACACGGUCCAGACUCCUACGGGAGGCAGCAGGGGGGAAUAUUGCACAAUGGGCGCAAGCCUGAUGCAGCCAUGCCGCGUGUAUGAAGAAGGCCUUCGGGUUGUAAAGUACUUUCAGCGGGGAGGAAGGGAGUAAGGUUAAUAACCUUGUUCAUUGACGUUACCCGCAGAAGAAGCACCGGCUAACUCCGUGCCAGCAGCCGCGGUAA